GGACCGUGGCACUUCCCUUAUACUUCUUCAACUGAAUUCAUAUCAUAAACAACCUUCUUAUGCCAUAAAGAACAGGUUUUCUGUUAAGGGAGGCUGCUGUUCAGAGGAAAUUGCAUUUUGCCGUAGUUUUGAUGUUUUGCGAAGCCAUGUUACAGAACAGUAAUUGCAGAGCAGAGGAAAGGGAGAAACUGUUUUGCAGAACCAAAUAUUAACCUGGAAACAAGAGGAAUCCAAACUGGGCUAAAAGA
Molecule: long non-coding RNA, 248 nt
Organism: Manacus vitellinus (golden-collared manakin)
Lineage: Eukaryota; Metazoa; Chordata; Aves; Passeriformes; Pipridae
Exons: 3
Source: RefSeq, a predicted model, not a curated record